UUGAUUGAUUUGUUUUUUUUCUCAGACUGCAAAAAAUGUAUUCAGAGUGAUAAACCCUCGGUGGGCAAGUCUCAACCCCUCCAACCAAAAAUUCGAUCGAGAGUCUCGGCACGAAACCGUGACCCAAUCACGAAAAAGGAUGAAAGGGAGAUCGCCAACUCAUAGAAAGGUUUAAAACCCUUCCACAAGCAGCGUCCCACCGAAGCAACAGGUCGAUACGCAAGGGUGGGAGUCCACGCUGGAAAGCGCGGGUACUCGGUAAUGAUCCUUCCGCAGGUUCACCUACGGAAA
RNAcentral lists this unclassified non-coding RNA (291 nucleotides) under uncultured fungus. RNAcentral's name for it is "sequence contains ITS1". Lineage: Eukaryota; Fungi. The record is from RNAcentral.